This 497-nucleotide ribosomal RNA is filed under the name uncultured bacterium. RNAcentral describes it as "partial 16S ribosomal RNA". It matches the Rfam family "Bacterial small subunit ribosomal RNA", at positions 28 to 507 of the family's 1533-position model. The record is from RNAcentral.
GACGAACGCUGGCGGCGUGCCUAAUACAUGCAAUUUGAGCGCUGAAGGUUGGUACUUGUACCAACUGGAUGAGCAGCGAACGGUUGAGUAACGCGUGGGGAAUCUGCCUUUGAGCGGGGGACAACAUUUGGAAACGAAUGCUAAUACCGCAUAAAAACUUUAAACACAAGUUUUAAGUUUGAAAUAUGCAAUUGCAUCACUCAAAGAUGAUCCCGCGUUGUAUUAGCUAGUUGGUGAGGUAAAGGCUCACCAAGGCGAUGAUACAUAGCCGACCUGAGAGGGUGAUCGGCCACAUUGGGACUGAGACACGGCCCAAACUCCUACGGGAGGCAGCAGUAGGGAAUCUUCGGCAAUGGACGAAAGUCUGACCGAGCAACGCCGCGUGAGUGAAGAAGGUUUUCGGAUCGUAAAACUCUGUUGGUAGAGAAGAACGUUGGUGAGAGUGGAAAGCUCAUCAAGUGACGGUAACUACCCAGAAAGGGACGGCUAACUACGUG